RNAcentral lists this ribosomal RNA (668 nucleotides) under Klebsiella variicola. RNAcentral describes it as "partial 23S ribosomal RNA". It matches the Rfam family "Bacterial large subunit ribosomal RNA", at positions 2263 to 2925 of the family's 2925-position model. Lineage: Bacteria; Pseudomonadati; Pseudomonadota; Gammaproteobacteria; Enterobacterales; Enterobacteriaceae. RNAcentral also lists the same sequence under 1 other name. The record is from RNAcentral.
GGGUAGUUUGACUGGGGCGGUCUCCUCCCAAAGAGUAACGGAGGAGCACGAAGGUUAGCUAAUCCUGGUCGGACAUCAGGAGGUUAGUGCAAUGGCAUAAGCUAGCUUGACUGCGAGCGUGACGGCGCGAGCAGGUGCGAAAGCAGGUCAUAGUGAUCCGGUGGUUCUGAAUGGAAGGGCCAUCGCUCAACGGAUAAAAGGUACUCCGGGGAUAACAGGCUGAUACCGCCCAAGAGUUCAUAUCGACGGCGGUGUUUGGCACCUCGAUGUCGGCUCAUCACAUCCUGGGGCUGAAGUAGGUCCCAAGGGUAUGGCUGUUCGCCAUUUAAAGUGGUACGCGAGCUGGGUUUAGAACGUCGUGAGACAGUUCGGUCCCUAUCUGCCGUGGGCGCUGGAGAAUUGAGGGGGGCUGCUCCUAGUACGAGAGGACCGGAGUGGACGCAUCACUGGUGUUCGGGUUGUCAUGCCAAUGGCACUGCCCGGUAGCUAAAUGCGGAAGAGAUAAGUGCUGAAAGCAUCUAAGCACGAAACUUGCCCCGAGAUGAGUUCUCCCUGAGACUUUAAGUCUCCUGAAGGAACGUUGAAGACGACGACGUUGAUAGGCCGGGUGUGUAAGCGCAGCGAUGCGUUGAGCUAACCGGUACUAAUGAACCGUGAGGCUUAACCUU